GGAGGAGCCGUGUUACUAUUCACUGUGCUUUCUCAGUCUGUCUCAGCCUCUUAAUUUUCUUUUUUUCUAUUGUUCUUUACACGUUCUUUGAUCUCACCGUCUACCACAAUGUCGGUUAACUCCCUGGCCGUUGGAUCAUUAUAUGUGUCGCGAUCUCGGAGCCGGAGGGGUGUUCCUCCCAUUAGGAUGACUGUCCGAUCUAACAUCGUCUCGGUGGCUCCAUUCCUGACCAAGUUACAAAGGGACUCUGCAACUCCUUUGCCAGUUUUGCGGUACGUGGCCGACGCCAUGACCACUGAUAUGCGAGCUGGACUUGCCACUGAUGGUGGUAGCGAUCUAAAGAUGAUACUGAGCUAUGUUGAUUGCUUGCCUAGCGGGAAUGAGAAAGGAUUGUUUUAUGCAUUGGAUCUUGGUGGCACUAAUUUCCGGGUUCUGAGAGUGCAAUUAGGUGGGAAGCAAGAGCGAGUGAUUGCCACUGAAUUUGAGCAAGUUUCUAUCCCUCAAGAGCUAAUGUUUGGUACUUCUGAGGAACUUUUUGAUUUUAUUGCGUCUGGAUUGGCAAAUUUUGCUAAAAAAGAAGGUGGGAAAUUUCACCUGCCACAUGGAAGGAUAAGAGAGAUUGGAUUCACAUUUUCUUUCCCUGUGAAGCAAACGUCCAUUGACUCUGGCAUACUGAUCAAGUGGACCAAGGGUUUUGCGGUGUCUGGAUCGGUUUGUAUAUUUCAAUUAGUUUUGAAACUACAUAAAUGGUGCCCAUGAAACUGGUAACAAAAAAUCCCGAAUGAACGAAAUAGGAGUAACAUGAUAAAUGGCUUAAUUUUGAAAUGAUAUUGCUUUGCAAGAUUAAAAACAUUUCAUUUUUUAAUUGGGGUAAAACUCGCGUCUUGAAAGCCUUCUGCUUUUGUUCUACAUACAUUAACUACAUUGCUCUGGGAUAAUAAGAACUUGGGCACUUGCAUUGUAAAGCAAUUUGAUUGAGUCAUAGUUCUUUAAUAUUGCUGAUCUAAACUUGAUACUUAAUGCAGGCUGGACGAGAUGUUGUUGCUUGUCUAAACGAAGCAAUGGAAAGGCAAGGAUUAGAUAUGCGGGUGUCUGCCCUGGUAUGUUGUUCUCAUUCUAGUAUCCUCAAUAAUAAAGUUUAUGGGCUGAUAGAAGUAACAAAAUUUAUUGCAAAUUGAUGGAGAAUAGGUUAAUGAUACUGUGGGAACUUUAGCGGGAGCAAGAUACUGGGAUGAUGAUGUCAUGGUUGCUGUCAUUUUGGGUACUGGAACUAAUGCUUGCUAUGUUGAACGGAUAGAUGCUAUUCCAAAACUACGUGGUCCAGAAUCAUUUUCUGGAAGAACGAUUGUUAAUACUGAAUGGGGAGCAUUUUCGAAUGGUAUUCCUUUGACUGAAUAUGAUAGAGAUAUGGAUGCUGCAAGUAUCAAUCCUGGCGAGCAGAUAUUUGAGAAGACAAUUUCUGGAAUGUAUCUAGGAGAAAUUGCACGACGAGUGUUAUUGAAGAUGGCUGAAGUAGGUGAUCUAUUUGGAAAAUCUGUGCCAGAAAAAUUAUCCACCCCUUUUGCACUCCGGUAACUACAUCUUCCUUGUUAAAAUUUCCUUCACUUUAUUCAUGUCAUUCAAAGGUUAAAAAACUAGUAAAUAUGAACCAACAGAAUUGGUAUCUUGUCGAGUUGUCAUCAGCAGGCUGUUGUUGUUUUUUGUCAUAUCAUUACCACAAAUGGAAGCUUUCUUCUUAUUUUGAAUUGCACAUUGGUGUUAAAUGUAAUGCCAAUGAAACUCCUAAAUCAAUAAUCUUCCGUCAGAUAUUUGCUUGUUAAAUGCACAUCUGUUGCAUAACAAAGACCAAGGAAUAGAAAGUUUGAUUUAUAUAAAAAUUUAUCUUCUUAAUUCCUGGAAUAGACUGUUAGCUAGUUCAGUAAAAUGUUUAACCUUUUCUCAUGGCUCCAUAUUCCCUAAACUAUGAAUUUAUAAUUCUCUUGUUUAUGGAUAGUUUUUGUUAUAUUAAAACCUUAAUCUGAAGCUAGUAUUGUAAGGAAACUUCAGGUGUUUUGUGUUUUAGUUAUUCAUUUAAAAUUUACAUAAUAGCGAUCUUUUCUCUUCCCCUAAUUUUUUCACUCUUCGGUUGAAUUAUUUUUUUUGCCCCUUGUACUGAAGCAUAUUCUCAUUUGUAUAUCAGUACCCCAGAUCUAUGUGCUAUGCAGCAGGACAACUCUGAUGAUCUUCAAUCUGUUGGAUCAAUCCUAUACAAUGUCGUUGGGGUAAUACUAACUCUUCCUAGAUGUGUCAAAUGAUUUGAUCUAUCUCCCAUUAUGAGGCUUUUGUUUUGCUAUUUAUAUAGGGGACAAAAUACGCAUAAAGAAAGAUGAAAGGAUUUGUGUAAAACUUCAAUCUUUUCUCCUAACUUCCAUAGGAAUUUUAUACAAUCACUUGAAUCUUUAUAUCCAACUUUGAUUUAGGCCGAAUCCAGCUUAAGUGCAAGAAAGAUUGUGGUAGAGGUUAGUGAUGCCAUCGUGAAGAGAGGGGGGCGCUUAGCUGGUGCUGGAAUUGUUGGGAUUCUGCAAAAGAUGGAGGAGGAUUCCAGAGGUCUGAUAUUUGGAAAGAGAACAGUGGUGGCUAUGGAUGGUGGCCUGUAUGAGCACUACCCUCAGUAUAGAAGAUACUUAAAAGAAGCUGUGACAGAGCUUCUGGGGUUAGAAAUUUCAAAGAACAUAGUUAUAGAACAUUCAAAAGAUGGGUCUGGUAUUGGAGCUGCUCUCCUGGCUGCAACAAAUUCCAAGUAUGAUCAUGACUAUUAGGUUAGCCAAUGGUCCGAAUUGCCAAGAAUGCAACUUAUUUUUUGUGUAAUUAAUCAAAGCACAUUACUUGGCUUGGUUUCUUUAUUGUGUAGUAAAAUCAAUAAUAAAAAGGAGGAGAAAAUUUUGGUUUAGGAAUUCAGCAGCUUUGUAUGUAGAACAACAAAUAAUUGUGUGAACUAAUAAUAGAUCAUUAGUUUAACAAAUUUUCAAUUUAAAGUUUCGUCACUUCUGAAUGAAAAUAAAU
This 3042-nucleotide unclassified non-coding RNA is filed under the name Hevea brasiliensis (rubber tree). The record is from RNAcentral. Lineage: Eukaryota; Viridiplantae; Streptophyta; Magnoliopsida; Malpighiales; Euphorbiaceae.